This 473-nucleotide ribosomal RNA is filed under the name uncultured organism. RNAcentral's name for it is "partial 16S ribosomal RNA". It matches the Rfam family "Bacterial small subunit ribosomal RNA", at positions 335 to 799 of the family's 1533-position model. The record is from RNAcentral.
ACUCCUGCGGGAGGCAGCAGUGGGGAAUAUUGCACAAUGGGCGCAAGCCUGAUGCAGCCAUGCCGCGUGUAUGAAGAAGGCCUUCGGGUUGUAAAGUACUUUCAGCGGGGAGGAAGGCAAUACGGUUAAUAACCGUGUUGAUUGACGUUACCCGCAGAAGAAGCACCGGCUAACUCCGUGCCAGCAGCCGCGGUAAUACGGAGGGUGCAAGCGUUAAUCGGAAUUACUGGGCGUAAAGCGCACGCAGGCGGUCUGUCAAGUCGGAUGUGAAAUCCCCGGGCUCAACCUGGGAACUGCAUUCGAAACUGGCAGGCUUGAGUCUUGUAGAGGGGGGUAGAAUUCCAGGUGUAGCGGUGAAAUGCGUAGAGAUCUGGAGGAAUACCGGUGGCGAAGGCGGCCCCCUGGACAAAGACUGACGCUCAGGUGCGAAAGCGUGGGGAGCAAACAGGAUUAGAAACCCGAGUAGUCCCAUG